This 620-nucleotide ribosomal RNA is filed under the name uncultured archaeon. RNAcentral's name for it is "bacterial SSU rRNA". It matches the Rfam family "Archaeal small subunit ribosomal RNA", at positions 1 to 609 of the family's 1478-position model. The record is from RNAcentral.
UCCGGUUGAUCCUGCCAGAGGCCGCUGCUAUCCGGCUGGGACUAAGCCAUGCUAGUCUAGGGGCUUGUACUCCUUCGGGGGUGCAAGCACCGGCGGACGGCUCAGUAACACGUGGACAACCUGCCCUCGGGUGGGGGAUAACCCCGGGAAACUGGGGCUAAUCCCCCAUAGGUGAUGGGUGCUGGAAUGCCCCAUCUCCGAAAGCGCUUAGCGCCCGAGGAUGGGUCUGCGGCGGAUUAGGUAGUUGGUGGGGUAACGGCCCACCAAGCCUAAGAUCCGUACGGGCUGUGGGAGCAGGAGCCCGGAGAUGGACCCUGAGACAAGGGUCCAGGCCCUACGGGGCGCAGCAGGCGCGAAACCUCCGCAAUGCGGGAAACCGCGACGGGGUUAGCCGGAGUGCCCGUGCAUUGCACGGGCUGUCGGGGUGCCUAAACAGCACCCCAUAGCAAGGGCCGGGCAAGGCCGGUGGCAGCCGCCGCGGUAAGACCGGCGGCCCGAGUGGCGGCCACUCUUAUUGGGCCUAAAGCGUCCGUAGCCGGCCCAGUAAGUCCCCCGGGAAAUCUGGUCGCUUAACGAUCAGACUUCCGGGGGAUACUGCUGGGCUAAGGACCGGGAGAGGC